RNAcentral lists this ribosomal RNA (202 nucleotides) under uncultured bacterium. Its description in RNAcentral is "partial 16S ribosomal RNA". It matches the Rfam family "Bacterial small subunit ribosomal RNA", at positions 1300 to 1500 of the family's 1533-position model. The record is from RNAcentral.
GUAGUCUGCAACCCGACUACAUGAAGCUGGAAUCGCUGGUAAUCGCGGAUCAGAAUGCCGCGGUGAAUACGUUCCCGGGUCUUGUANACACCGCCCGUCACACCAUGAGAGUCGGGAACACCCGAAGUCCGUAGUCUAACUUCACGAGAGGACGCGGCCGAAGGUGGGUUCGAUAAUUGGGGUGAAGUCGUAACAAGGUAGC